UACGAAGGGGGCUAGCGUUGUUCGGAAUUACUGGGUGUAAAGCGCACGUAGGCGGAAUGUUAAGUCAGGGGUGAAAUCCCGGGGCUCAACCCCGGAACUGCCUUUGAUACUGGCAUUCUCGAGUCCGGAAGAGGUGAGUGGAAUUCCGAGUGUAGAGGUGAAAUUCGUAGAUAUUCGGAGGAACACCAGUGGCGAAGGCGGCUCACUGGUCCGGUACUGACGCUGAGGUGCGAAAGCGUGGGGAGCAAACAGG
This 253-nucleotide ribosomal RNA is filed under the name uncultured bacterium. RNAcentral describes it as "partial 16S ribosomal RNA". It matches the Rfam family "Bacterial small subunit ribosomal RNA", at positions 524 to 776 of the family's 1533-position model. The record is from RNAcentral.